GUCUUCUGACACAGGCAUCUCACAACACCAGUGCAGCCGGACCGUUGUCUGGUAGGUCUCUGUGCACCCAGGAGGACCUGGGCCUGCGAGAAGUCUGGGGCCCACUGCUGGGUAUGCUCGUUUCUUGAGCAUCCGAGUCACCUUUACAGUCUGCGAUGAUUGACGAGGUCAAACAGGACUCACUUGCAUUGCCGGGUCUCUGUGGCGACAGGGAGGACUUGGAGAUCAAAGAAACUCUAGUAACGUGGAAAUUCAUGCUCCGAGUAGUGACAAGCCAGUGACUUUUUCUAUAGAAAGGGUACAAGACUCCAAUUUGAAAAUCUCAAGCAGCUUUAUAUUCAAGCAAGUUCAAUCCAAUCUCUUCCUGACUCACUGUCUCAUCAACAUGCAAAGCUCUCGAAGAGAAAUCAUCUCUUACUUGCCUGAGGGAGUUCUGGCAGACGUUUUGAAUGUGGAUGUGGAAGUUCUUUCCUCGUCUCCAUCCUGUCAAGAGCCGUGGAGCAAACAGCAGGAUGAGGAAGACAUGGAAGACAAAACUGAUAACGCACGUCACCUCGCUGCAGCGGGAGACAGAAUGUAACUUCAAUUCAGCCUCUUUGGGGUUUGGGUUCUGACCAAGUAAAUCGGGAAUGUUGUUAACAUAUCAA
This 647-nucleotide long non-coding RNA is filed under the name Homo sapiens (human). Its description in RNAcentral is "non-protein coding lnc-AUH-2:10". Lineage: Eukaryota; Metazoa; Chordata; Mammalia; Primates; Hominidae. The record is from RNAcentral.